RNAcentral lists this ribosomal RNA (507 nucleotides) under Phialophora verrucosa. RNAcentral describes it as "SSU rRNA". It matches the Rfam family "Eukaryotic small subunit ribosomal RNA", at positions 569 to 1078 of the family's 1831-position model. The record is from RNAcentral. Lineage: Eukaryota; Fungi; Ascomycota; Eurotiomycetes; Chaetothyriales; Herpotrichiellaceae.
AGCAGCCGCGGUAAUUCCAGCUCCAAUAGCGUAUAUUAAAGUUGUUGCAGUUAAAAAGCUCGUAGUUGAACCUUGGGCCUGGCUGAUCUGUCCUCCUAAUCGAGCGCACGGAUUCGGUCGGGCCUUUCCUCCUGGGGAACCCUAUGCCCUUCACUGGGCGUAGUGGGGAACCAGGACUUUUACCUUGAAAAAAUUAGAGUGUUCAAAGCAGGCCUUUGCUCGAAUACAUUAGCAUGGAGUAAUAGAAUAGGACAUCGGUUCUAUUUUGUUGGUUUCUAGGACCGCUGUAAUGAUUAAUAGGGAUAGUCGGGGGCGUCAGUAUUCAAUUGUCAGAGGUGAAAUUCUUGGAUUUAUUGAAGACUAACUACUGCGAAAGCAUUCGCCAAGGAUGUUUUCAUUAAUCAGUGAACGAAAGUUAGGGGAUCGAAGACGAUCAGAUACCGUCGUAGUCUUAACCAUAAACUAUGCCGACUAGGGAUCGGACGAUGUUAAUUUUAUAAUGACUCG